GGGGUUCAAACUGUUUUUUUAAUCUCGUUGAUUUAACGUUGAUUUUGUCUUUGUUAUAUAAACAUAAUGCACUAUACAUUACACUCAGUUAUAUGGAAAAGCGUCGAGCAUUAGUUUUCGAACAAAACGAUUAGAGGAGACUAAAUUAUAUCGACCCCUCCAAAUCUUAUCAAAAUCUUAUCUUCAUCAUUAAAAAUGAUCGAAUCUCUUUGUAUCAAGAUUUUUUAUUUAG
This 232-nucleotide long non-coding RNA is filed under the name Brassica rapa (field mustard). RNAcentral describes it as "long non-coding RNA (BRAP_LNC002279)". Lineage: Eukaryota; Viridiplantae; Streptophyta; Magnoliopsida; Brassicales; Brassicaceae. The record is from RNAcentral.